This 506-nucleotide ribosomal RNA is filed under the name uncultured bacterium. RNAcentral's name for it is "partial 16S ribosomal RNA". It matches the Rfam family "Bacterial small subunit ribosomal RNA", at positions 28 to 523 of the family's 1533-position model. The record is from RNAcentral.
GAUGAACGCUAGCUACAGGCUUAACACAUGCAAGUCGAGGGGUAACGAGAGGAAAGCUUGCUUUCCUUGUCGACGACCGGCGCACGGGUGAGUAACGCGUAUCCAACCUGCCCCCAACUAGGGAAUAACCUUGCGAAAGUAAGACUAAUACCCUAUAAUUUCCUCAGAUGACAUCUGACGAGGAAUAAAGAUUUAUCGGUUGUGGAUGGGGAUGCGUCUGAUUAGCUUGUUGGCGGGGUAACGGCCCACCAAGGCAACGAUCAGUAGGGGUUCUGAGAGGAAGGUCCCCCACAUUGGAACUGAGACACGGUCCAAACUCCUACGGGAGGCAGCAGUGAGGAAUAUUGGUCAAUGGGCGGAAGCCUGAACCAGCCAAGUAGCGUGCAGGAUGACGGCCCUAUGGGUCGUAAACUGCUUUUAUACAGGAAUAAAGUUGGCCACGUGUGGUUAUUUGUAGGUACUGUAUGAAUAAGGACCGGCUAAUUCCGUGCCAGCCGCCGCAGUAA